AUGGAUCUUGGAAUCUUUCUUGUUUGGAGUGUUCUUGUGUUACCUAACCUUGUUUUCUUAAGUUUACUCCUUCAAAAGGCAGCUCAAGAACCACAAGGUAAGAAUAUGCAUCACACUCAUAUGCAUGAUGAUCUCUUACUUUUGCACAUAUUAUUUGCAAGAGGGAUUCAUGAACAUGAAGGUACAUCAUUUAACUAUUUUUUUUGCUUUGAUGCAUAUACCCAAGAUACAUGUAACUCAUUGCCUACUCUGUCGUGCUAUGCAUUCACAUGUUCUUCUAUCCUAUUUUCACAUGACUGCAUACAUGUAGGGGGAGUAUAUGUAUGUUACAUGUUAUUGCAAAGCUUUACUUACUACUCUUCAUAUCAUUUCCUUAAAGUUUUGAUGUAUGUUGUCAUCAAUUGCCAAAAAGGGAGAGACUGA
This 423-nucleotide ribosomal RNA is filed under the name Triticum aestivum (bread wheat). RNAcentral describes it as "partial small subunit ribosomal RNA". The record is from RNAcentral. Lineage: Eukaryota; Viridiplantae; Streptophyta; Magnoliopsida; Poales; Poaceae.